RNAcentral lists this ribosomal RNA (491 nucleotides) under uncultured bacterium. RNAcentral's name for it is "partial 16S ribosomal RNA". It matches the Rfam family "Bacterial small subunit ribosomal RNA", at positions 29 to 506 of the family's 1533-position model. The record is from RNAcentral.
AGUGAACGCUGGCGGUAGGCCUAACACAUGCAAGUCGAACGGCAGCACAGUAAGAGCUUGCUCUUACGGGUGGCGAGUGGCGGACGGGUGAGGAAUACAUCGGAAUCUACUUUUUCGUGGGGGAUAACGUAGGGAAACUUACGCUAAUACCGCAUACGACCUACGGGUGAAAGCAGGGGAUCUUCGGACCUUGCGCGAUUGAAUGAGCCGAUGUCGGAUUAGCUAGUUGGCGGUGUAAAGGCCCACCAAGGCGACGAUCCGUAGCUGGUCUGAGAGGAUGAUCAGCCACACUGGAACUGAGACACGGUCCAGACUCCUACGGGAGGCAGCAGUGGGGAAUAUUGGACAAUGGGCGCAAGCCUGAUCCAGCCAUACCGCGUGGGUGAAGAAGGCCUUCGGGUUGUAAAGCCCUUUUGUUGGGAAAGAAAAGCAGCAGGUUAAUACCCCGCUGUUCUGACGGUACCCAAAGAAUAAGCACCGGCUAACUUCGU